RNAcentral lists this ribosomal RNA (816 nucleotides) under Triticum aestivum (bread wheat). Its description in RNAcentral is "partial small subunit ribosomal RNA". The record is from RNAcentral. Lineage: Eukaryota; Viridiplantae; Streptophyta; Magnoliopsida; Poales; Poaceae.
AUGCAACAACAGCCGAGGCGACGACCCUACAUGAUAGAAGGACUUGGGUGUGUUCCUGUUAUUACUGAAACUGAUUCGCUGGAACUUUUCAAAGCUUUCAACGAAACUAUUCAGGUGAGGACAGCGAUUCUCAGACUGCUUUCAGAUAGCUUUAGGAUUGGUGAAAUAUUGGUGCAACACUGCAAUCGGAGUUGUGAUUAUCCAGUGGUACAGUACGCAGAUGACACGAUCCUGGUGAUGCCUGCCUGUUCUGAUCAAGCUGCUCGAAUGAAAUCCAUCCUGGUGGAUUACACUACCUCUGUGGGGCUGCGGAUCAAUUUUCAUAAGUCCACCUUGAUACCUAUCAAUCUGGACCCGCAGCGAGCGGGAGAGCUUGCACAUAUCUUCGGUUGCACGGUUGGCUCCCUCCCCUUCGCCUAUCUUGGCCUCCCCAUGGGCACCACGAGGCCGUCACUGCUGGAACUCAUGCCAAUGGUGCAUGGGGUGGAGAGAAAACUAUCCACUGCCCUGUAUUUGAUGUCGUCCGAGGCCAAGCUCACAUUGGUCAAUUCAACCAUCACUUCGAUGCUGAUUUACGCCAUGUGCACGAUCAAGCUUCAUACGAAGGUAGUCGAGCAUCUUGAUAAGCUGCGCAGGUAUUGCUUGUGGGCCAAGAAUACUGAUGAUGGGGUCAAAAACAAUUCUCUUGCGGCAUGGGAGCUGGUUUGUCGACCCAAGGGUAAGGGUGGACUUGGUGUGAUUGAUGUCAAAACCCAGAACAUGGCCCUGCUCCUCAAACACCUCUUCAAGUUCUAUAAUCGGGAAGAUGUCCCCUAG